This 544-nucleotide ribosomal RNA is filed under the name Achromobacter piechaudii. RNAcentral describes it as "bacterial SSU rRNA". It matches the Rfam family "Bacterial small subunit ribosomal RNA", at positions 47 to 586 of the family's 1533-position model. Lineage: Bacteria; Pseudomonadati; Pseudomonadota; Betaproteobacteria; Burkholderiales; Alcaligenaceae. The record is from RNAcentral.
UGUAAUGCUAACCAUGCAGUCGACGGCUGCCGGACUUCUGUCUGGUGGCGAGUGGCGACGGGUGAGUAAUGUAUCGGAACGUGCCUAGUACCGGGGGAGACUACGCGAAAGCGUACCUGAUACCGCAUACGCCCUACGGUGGAAAGCAGGGGAUCGCAAGACCUUGCACUAUUAGAGCGGCCGAUAUCGGAUUACCUAGUUGGUGGGGUAACGGCUCACCAAGGCGACGAUCCGUAGCUGGUUUGAGAGGACGACCAGCCACACUGGGACUGACACACGGCCCAGACUCCUACGGGAGGCAGCAGUGGGGAAUUUUGGACAAUGGGGGAAACCCUGAUCCAGCCAUCCCGCGUGUGCGAUGAAGGCCUUCGGGUUGUAAAGCACUUUUGGCAGGAAAGAAACGUUCCGGGUUAAUACCCCGGGAAACUGACGGUACCUGCCUAAUAAGCACCGGCUAACUACGUGCCAGCAGCCGCGGUAAUACGUACGGUGCAAGCGUUAAUCGGAAUUACUGGGCGUAAAGCGUGCGCAGGCGGUUCGGACA